CCAACGACUGUUGACGAAGGACAGAGACUGUCAACUAUCGGUACUGGUAGUCAAUUCCUCAAUCGCAGUCGUCAAGACACCAAGCAUCACGGUCACUAAUACCCAUGGUGAUCAACUAUAAAAGGACUUCCUGGAUUAAAGUUGUUCUGAAUUACAACUGUGCUAGAUUACUCAUGUCUAACCGCAAAUUCCAAGCUGACAAUGGAGUUCACAGUACUCUACAAAAACGAAGAGGAAACUUAAGUUUGCUAAUCAGAGAUUUUCUCCGUCUUUGUCCAUUCUCUGAACAUAGUGACAUCUUGAUGAAAAGUGUCUUCCCUACUUGCCUAGCUACGUUACACCCCCAAUUCACAUGCUUAGAAGAGUCCUGCAAGAUACCUAUUACCGAGAGAGCAACUGCCUGAUAGGUCACACACACUUCACAAGUUAGGCACUGAUAAUCUCCAGAUUGGAUUGGAAACAUGUACUCAGACUUAAGAUUAGAUAACUUUGUUCAAGGUUACUUUACGCGGCGAUGUAGAAAUUGGGGCAUGAACAGCCGCAGUGAGUUGUUCAUACGACUGAACUCAUCGUUCACGUGUUAAUUGCAUAAGGCGGUGGAGGAACCGAAGCGACAUUGAUUAGAGGACGGGUUGUUUGGAACCCUUUCGUCUCCUCUACAUGCAAAUACAACUGCAGGCAUGAAAAAACGAUUAAACUCACCGAACUCAUGGUUACAUUUCGAGGGAGGGCAAGUGCUAACCCCAGAAUGCUGCCUGCGGAAGGACGCAAUAGCCUCUUAGCUAGUAGACUGGUCUGGCUACUUCUGAAUUCCGGUUCUUCGCGUGAAUCGCGACUGAGGUGUGAUCGUGUCUAGCUGUUAAUAACUCACGCUCUUAUUGACAGCCACUGGUGACCCCUGCAUGCUUCUUGGAGUUUUGUCACAACAGUUAUGAGAAUGUCGAUUUUGAUCCAGCUACAACGCCACAUAUCUGCAUAAGCACUGCACCGAUAAGCGAGAAUGAGAAUUGCAUCAUUGCUUCAAUUUGUCAGGUC
This 1035-nucleotide long non-coding RNA is filed under the name Physcomitrium patens. RNAcentral describes it as "long non-coding RNA (PPAT_LNC008305)". The record is from RNAcentral. Lineage: Eukaryota; Viridiplantae; Streptophyta; Bryopsida; Funariales; Funariaceae.